GGUGGCGUGGUAGAGAGGCUAUACAGCGGAUUGCAAAUCCGUGGACGUCGGUUCAAAUCCGGCCGCCACCUCCA
Molecule: transfer RNA, 74 nt
Filed under: Pseudobdellovibrionaceae bacterium
Lineage: Bacteria; Pseudomonadati; Bdellovibrionota; Bdellovibrionia; Bdellovibrionales; Pseudobdellovibrionaceae
Also listed under: 1 other name
Description: Bdellovibrionaceae bacterium tRNA-Cys
Rfam family: tRNA
About the family: Transfer RNA (tRNA) molecules are approximately 80 nucleotides in length.
Source: RNAcentral